CUCGUAUAAGAUGAGUCGUCUUUUAAGCCAUUUAAAGCACUUGUAGUCGUGUUUUAUCACAUAUAAAACACUCCGCUACGCGUCGUGUUUUAUAUGUGAUAAAACACUCCCACGCGUGCUUUAAAUAGUACUUAAACCAGACUUAAUAACCUCAUUAACUAUGGUUUUGAUGACCUCAAAGUGAUGUUAGCCUUUUCAAUUCGAAAUUUCAAAUAGCAGCAUGCAAGUUCGAGUUUUUGCUUGGCUGAUAUCAAUGACUGGCUGUUAUGAUAACAAUUCUGCGUGACUUCACUUGUGAUAUAACAUAUAUAUCCUGAAUAAUCCAAGAUGGCGGACUGCUCGCAAAUUUCAGUCAAAAUUUCUUUAUUAAUUAUUUUAAAAGUUCUUUCAAACGAGGUAAAGUAAAUUUUUACUCCGAAUGUCCUUUAACCAGAUAGUAUUAAAUCCCAGUUUCUCCCUGGUUUGCGUAAACAUUUUGUAGCACUUGAUUUAGAUGACCAUAUAUAUGAUCAUCAUUUCCUUCUCCAGGACCAGGCCUUUUGAGAGCUGUAUACGUCGACUGUUCAUCGUCUACUUGUCCAUAAUUGCUGACAGGAGUAUCAUAAAUGUGUCUUGAAUUAUUUUCGUCAUUAGUGGUUUCCACAUUUGUUUCAGUGUUUGAUGAUUUGGGUCGACGAGUUUGAUAGAUAAAAUAAACGAUAAUAACAAAUGAAAUGACCAGCAGAAUUGCUAAUGCUAUAAUUCCAAUGAGGUAUUUUUCAGAAGCAUCAUCAUGAUCGACCAUGCCUGAAA
Paramuricea clavata is the source of this 792-nucleotide non-coding RNA. The record is from the annotation of a GenBank genome assembly. Lineage: Eukaryota; Metazoa; Cnidaria; Anthozoa; Malacalcyonacea; Plexauridae.